GGCCCCGUAGUUCAACUGGAGUAGAAUGGCAGAUUCCGGAUCUGCCUUGGUUAGGUUCGAAUCUCUCGGGGUCA
RNAcentral lists this transfer RNA (74 nucleotides) under Flavobacteriales bacterium. Its description in RNAcentral is "tRNA-Arg". It matches the Rfam family "tRNA". Rfam says of the family: Transfer RNA (tRNA) molecules are approximately 80 nucleotides in length. Their secondary structure includes four short double-helical elements and three loops (D, anti-codon, and T loops). The record is from RNAcentral. Lineage: Bacteria; Pseudomonadati; Bacteroidota; Flavobacteriia; Flavobacteriales.